AGAUGCCGCGUGAGUGAAGAAGGCCUUUGGGUUGUAAAGCUCUUUUGUAGGGGAAGAUAAUGACUGUACCCUAAGAAUAAGGUCCGGCUAACUUCGUGCCAGCAGCCGCGGUAAUACGAAGGGACCUAGCGUAGUUCGGAAUUACUGGGCGUAAAGCGCGCGUAGGCCGUUGAGUUAGUUAAUUGUGAAAUCCCAAAGCUUAACUUUGGAACUGCAAUUAAAACUGCUCGACUAGAGUUUGAUAGAGGAAAGCGGAAUACAUAGUGUAGAGGUGAAAUUCGUAGAUAUUAUGUAGAACACCAGUUGCGAAGGCGGCUUUCUGGGUCAACACUGACGCUGAGGCGCGAAAGUAUGGGUAGCAAAGAGGAUUAGAUACCCUCGUAGUCCAUACCAUAAACGAUGAUUGCUAGAUGUUGGAAAUUUAUUUUCAGUAUCGCAGCUAACGCAUUAAGCAAUCCGCCUGGGGAGUACGACCGCAAGGUUAAAACUCAAAUGAAUUGACGGGGACCCGCACAAGCGGUGGAGCAUGUGGUCUAAUUCGAAGAUACGCGCAGAACCUUACCAAGCCUUGACAUGUCUGUCGCGAGUUUAGGAAACUAGACUUUUCGGUUCGGCCGGACAGAACACGGGUGCUGCAUGGCUGGCGUCAGCUCGUGUCGUGAGAUGUUGGGUUAAGUCCGCGAAG
RNAcentral lists this ribosomal RNA (685 nucleotides) under uncultured bacterium. RNAcentral describes it as "bacterial SSU rRNA". It matches the Rfam family "Bacterial small subunit ribosomal RNA", at positions 392 to 1092 of the family's 1533-position model. The record is from RNAcentral.